GAUGAACGCUGGCGGCGCGCCUAACACAUGCGAGUCGAACGAUUAAAGCACCUUCGGGUGUGUAUAAAGUGGCGAACGGCUGAGUAACACGUGGGCAACCUGCCCCUCUCAUUGGGAUAGCCACGGGAAACCGUGGAUAAUACCGAAUACUUCGGGACUUCCGCAUGGAAGACUCGAGAAAGCUCCGGCGGAGAGGGAUGGGCCCGCGGCCUGUUAGCUUGUUGGUGGGGUAAUGGCCUACCAAGGCAAUGAUGGGUAGCUGGGUUGAGAGACCGACCAGCCAGAUUGGGACUGAGACACGGCCCAGACUCCUACGGGAGGCAGCAGUGGGGAAUCUUGCACAAUGGGCGAAAGCCUGAUGCAGCGACGCCGCGUGCGGGAUGAAGGCCUUCGGGUUGUAAACCGCUUUCAGCAGGGACGAGGCGAAAGUGACGGUACCUGCAGAAGAAGCCCCGGCUAACUACGUG
RNAcentral lists this ribosomal RNA (467 nucleotides) under uncultured bacterium. RNAcentral's name for it is "partial 16S ribosomal RNA". It matches the Rfam family "Bacterial small subunit ribosomal RNA", at positions 28 to 507 of the family's 1533-position model. The record is from RNAcentral.